This 29-nucleotide non-coding RNA is filed under the name Mus musculus (house mouse). Lineage: Eukaryota; Metazoa; Chordata; Mammalia; Rodentia; Muridae. The record is from RNAcentral.
UAGCAAGAUGACAGGUGAAGAUGUGAGGU